Molecule: unclassified non-coding RNA, 430 nt
Filed under: soil metagenome
Description: partial contains 5.8S ribosomal RNA, internal transcribed spacer 2, and large subunit ribosomal RNA
Rfam family: 5.8S ribosomal RNA (bases 1-120)
Source: RNAcentral
GAUGAAGAACGUAGCGAAAUGCGAUACGUAAUGUGAAUUGCAGAAUUCAGUGAAUCAUCGAAUCUUUGAACGCAUAUUGCGCUCUCUGGUAUUCCGGAGAGCAUGCUUGUUUGAGUAUCAGUAAACACCUCAACUCCCUUUUCUUUUUUGAAAUUGGAGCUGGACUUGAAUGAUCCCAACGCUUUCUUCCAAGAAAGUGGCGGGUUGCUUGAAAUGCAGGUGCAGCUGAACUUUUCUCUGAGCUAUAAGCAUAUCUAUUUAGUCUGCCUAAAAAACAGAUUAUUACCUUUGCUGCAGCUAACAUAAAGGAGACUAGUUCUUGUGCUGACUGAUGCAGGAUUCACAGAGACAGCUUCGGCUGACUUUGUAAACUCGAUCUCAAAUCAAGUAAGACUACCCGCUGAACUUAAGCAUAUCAAUAAGCGGAGGA